RNAcentral lists this ribosomal RNA (443 nucleotides) under uncultured bacterium. RNAcentral describes it as "partial 16S ribosomal RNA". It matches the Rfam family "Bacterial small subunit ribosomal RNA", at positions 338 to 795 of the family's 1533-position model. The record is from RNAcentral.
CCUACGGGAGGCAGCAGUGGGGAAUAUUGGGCAAUGGGCGCAAGCCUGACCCAGCAACGCCGCGUGAAGGAAGAAGGCUUUCGGGUUGUAAACUUCUUUUCUCAGGGACGAAGCAAGUGACGGUACCUGAGGAAUAAGCCACGGCUAACUACGUGCCAGCAGCCGCGGUAAUACGUAGGGGGCAAGCGUUAUCCGGCUUUACUGGGUGUAAAGGGCGAGUAGGCGGGAUUGCAAGUCAGAUGUGAAAACUAUGGGCUCAACCGAUAGAGUGCAUUUGAAACUGCAGUUCUUGAGUGAUGGAGAGGCAGGCGGAAUUCCCGGUGUAGCGGUGGAAUGCGUAGAUAUCGGGAGGAACACCAGUGGCGAAGGCGGCCUGCUGGACAUUAACUGACGCUGAGGCGCGAAAGCGUGGGGAGCAAACAGGAUUAGAUACCCUAGUAGUC